CCACUGCCCUGGAGAGCCUGUUCCAGUGCCCAGCCACCCUCUGGGUGAAGAGCCUUUUUCUAACAUCCAACCUAAUAAUUGUGAUGCUGCCCAGAACACAAUUGGCUUUCUGGGCCGUGAGGGCACAGUGCUGGGUCAUGUCCAGCCUCUCAUCCACCAGCCCAGCUGGAUGUUGUGGAUCAGUCUGGGCAAGCUCGUGUUGCUUGUAGGAGCAGGAAGCUGGGAGAGCCUGAGUGGCUCGUUAUGACUGCCAGGUACGAGACUGAGAAGGAUCUCAGCUGGGACUGCAUUUGCUGUGAAGGUGCAGAUCUUUCUUUGGACUUGAUGAUCUUAAAGUGAAGGGGAUUUCAUAUAGGAUGUGGAAAGCUGUUUUUUCCUGACACCUGGCUAUCUCCACGUUGGAUGCUCUAUUUCACAGAAACCAAAUCUGUGACAGUGCAAAAGCAUUGAAGAAAAUGUUUUCCUAUGGAUGUCUCACAGAAGAAGAAAGGAUGAACUCACCCCAGCAACUAUUUGCUUAGUUCUUGGGGAAUUUACGCUUCUACGUCAAUGGUUCAAAGGUUGUCUGAACUUGCAAUGACCUCAAAUGUUCAGCAUUUACAUCCAGGAGUUAUUUUCCAUUGGAGAGAGUUGUGGGUACCCUACUGCCUUCUUUGGAAUGGUUCUGGGCUCAUCAUUCUCAGAAUGUUUCUCUGCUUCUACUCUGUUCAAUGGAAGUGGUCACCAUUCUAGACUGAAGCUAGGAACAACAUCUUUUUAAAAAGAAGAACAUGUUUAAACAAGAGUAACAGAAGGGCCUCAUAAUGGAGAAAUCAAAUCACAAGAGAUUCAUCUCACCUAAUUUUAUCCCUUUGACACUUAGUUAUCUAAUCUAAAAGGGCUAUCUGGAGUCUCCUGUUGCCAGUGAAAAGAUAGACAGCAAUGAAUGGCCUUCUGGAGGUAUUUAUGUCUCUCCAUGCUGACUAUAGGUGGAGCCCAGACAACUGGUUUAUAGUAAAUGUUGAGCUUCUCAUGGGCUACAGAUAGAGAUGUGAUAAGUGGAUCCCACCCCUAAUAUCCCAAAGCCUCAUCUUCUUCCAUCAGUGACUCAGGAGAAAAAUAAUAACCAUGUCUACAAGCAAGGAGUGUCUACACUAAAGGAAAAUAUCAAUUUGUUAUAAAUCCUGGCCUGGGCUGAGGGUGUCUCAGUGGGAGGGAGCAGGAACUGGUCACUGGGUUCACUAGAGGGAGCUCAGAAGAAACCUGUCAGUCUCACCACGAUCAUGAUGUUCCUGUUGCAGAAUUAUUCCAGAGAAGCUACUUCUGGUGGAAAGGCCUCUGAGGUCUUUUCUCCUGCUCAAAGACAUAAUGCUGGAUUUGUCAAACCUGAUUUCUCAGCCAGAUUAUAACUUCUAAUCCAUUUGAUCUUAUUUUGAUUACCUUAUCUGGAAAAGACUUGUGCAUAGAGAAAAAUGUGGUCCAAGAUAAGCACAUCUUUGUCUACAGAGAAAAGCAACAACAACAACAACAAUCACAACAAUAAAUCUGUCUUCAAGAACAGAUCUUUCUGUCUUGGAAAGACUUUGGACACAUGAGCACCUCUGGACGCAUUUCGUGUGUGUGUGUACACACACGUGUAUAUAGCAAUAAACAUGCCCUGUUCUAAGAUUUAUAGUUCUGAGGAAUAAAAAAAGGCUGACCAUUCUCUUUUCUUUCUAAAUCACUCCUGCCAGCUCAUACUUUGAAUCAGUCCUUCCCCACAUCUACAAUAUUUUCCAUUUAGGUGGGUUGAGACAAGACAAUCUUGCUACUGAGGUCAGUGCUUUAGCAGCCUCUGUUCUGGAUUGGUGGACUCAGAUGAGCAUGAACUUUUUCCAGAAGCAGUCCCAGCUCAGUGGGAUGUAGCUGAUUUCUGUGAAAGUGUAUGUCUGCCUGCACAACUGAUAUCCCAAAGCAUUCUAUUUUUAUGCUGUGAGUUGCUGUGUUGAGAUCUAAAAUGUUCAGAAUUAUUUUUAUUGGACAAACACAAGCACUGAAAUCAUGAGGUUCUGGCAGGCUCCAAGCUCUGCCAGCUUAACACUUCUUUGUGCUUGGCAGGCAAAACAGUUUUUAAUAUUUUAGUUUUACUUUGCUGGUUCCUGCACAAUGUGGGUAGUUCUCAGUGACUUUAAUCAAAAGGUAGGAAGUAUGCAAGGACUAUUUAUGAGACUUUUAACUGAAUUGAAUCAAAUGAUGCAUUAUCUGAUCAAUUUUAACAGCAAUAAUACAAAUUUAAUUUUGGACCCAAACCUGUAUAAUUUGCUGCAGCUCAUCAGCCAGCUGAAUUACCCAAUGUGCUGGGUGUCUCACUGAUUCAGAUUUGCCCAAUGAUUCAGAUUUGUUUGUGGUGCUGACUGGGGAUUGAAACCUGCUCUCUGUAAGCCAAUGGAAAGGCCCAAAUAAUUCUAUUGUUUUGAAGGAAGUUAUGUUCUGUUGACCUUGGACCUUCACCCUCUUUCCUGCAAAACACAGGCUCAGCAAGGCAGGUUUAGUCUUUACUUCGUGAGAUGAGAAGGGGGGUGGUGAGGAAGGAAAGGAAAACCUGGAUCAUCUCCAGCAGUAAAAAGCUCCAGGUAGAUCAUUGCCAGGUUCUUUUCUGCAGAUAAGCUUAAAUAGGUGUUACACCCAGUGACUGCUACUGUGACCUGCAAAUGUCACAGUGCGACAGAGCCCCAUAAAAGAGGUACAAAUCAGAGGGAAAACAGAGAGAAGGAUUGUGACCUGCAAAGAAUCAGUUCCACUCUUUUCUUCAUAACAACGGCAUGAGCUUGGAUUAAUAUUACCAACAUUAGAGACUGCAGCAGGACUGCUGAGCCAGGAGUGCACUGUAAAGACAAAAUAACACAUCCUUUCAGAAGCUGCUCUUGCCCAAUAUUUUCUUUUUCUGUGAUGUGUUUCUCUGCCUCCUGAUUAUUAUUUCCUGUGUGCACCUGACACAGUUGCAUAAAAAGCACACAGAGCAGCUUGGUGAGCUCACCAUGGCUCAGCAGUCAGGCAGGACUAUGGAUUGUAAUUUACAGCAGAGCCCAAGCUCUGAGCAGCAGAUUCAAUUUUAUAAGUGCCGCUCUAGUUCAGCUUAGGUAAGAGUCUCUGGAACAGACAGCUUUCCAUGUGCUAUAAAUAGUGAGUGGUUAAAUGUGCUCCCUCAGUACACAUCAUUGAUUGCCAUGCAAAGCACAUUCUCAAGAAUAGCCAGCCUCACCCCCCUCAUCACGUACCGGGGUAUUUAUUUAUCCCUUAUUGUCAUUACAGGCAAAUAAGAGGUUUGACCCGAUGUAGCAGAGAGGUGGAAGGCUGAUUAUUUUAUUUCCACAGCUGUUGCAUUGCUGUGUUUUACAAUAUGUUUGUAAAUCAUCAGCAUAAUGGCAUGUUAUUAUAGCUGGCAAGUUAUAUCUUCAAGGAAAUAUAUUUUAAUUUACUGAAAAGGAAUAGGAAUAGCUAACUAUCUUAUCAGCAGGCCUAUCUUAAGUACAAGAACAAGGUCCACCCAGAUACUGAUUAAUAUCAACUGUAUUGAUUUUAUUACUCAUACUUUAUAAACGACACUGAUAUUCUUGAAGAGUGCAAACAUUUGCUUUCUUGUGCUAUUGUCUCAGUUGGAGUGUAAAUCUCUCACUUUUGUGAUUAUUGUUCUGGUCAUUGUUUCAUGACUGGAGGCAUUUUAAUGAUG
Long non-coding RNA from Passer domesticus (house sparrow), 3688 nucleotides. RefSeq lists it as uncharacterized. The transcript has 4 exons. NCBI's taxonomy places the organism in Eukaryota, Metazoa, Chordata, Aves, Passeriformes, Passeridae. The record is from RefSeq and is a predicted model, not a curated record.